RNAcentral lists this transfer RNA (76 nucleotides) under Oscillospiraceae bacterium. RNAcentral describes it as "tRNA-Gln". It matches the Rfam family "tRNA". From Rfam's summary of the family: Transfer RNA (tRNA) molecules are approximately 80 nucleotides in length. Lineage: Bacteria; Bacillati; Bacillota; Clostridia; Eubacteriales; Oscillospiraceae. The record is from RNAcentral.
UGGGAUAUAGCCAAGCGGUUCAAGGCACCGGCCUUUGAAGCCGGCAUCGCUGGUUCAAAUCCAGCUGUCCCAGCCA